RNAcentral lists this ribosomal RNA (773 nucleotides) under uncultured Neocallimastigales. Its description in RNAcentral is "partial large subunit ribosomal RNA". It matches the Rfam family "Eukaryotic large subunit ribosomal RNA", at positions 22 to 643 of the family's 3401-position model. The record is from RNAcentral. Lineage: Eukaryota; Fungi; Neocallimastigomycota; Neocallimastigomycetes; Neocallimastigales.
GUACACGCUGUGACUAGCAUAUCAAUAAGCGGAGGAAAAGAAACUAACAAGGAUUCCCCUAGUAACGGCGAGUGAAGCGGGAAGAGCUCAAAUUUGAAAUCUUAAAGGGUUUCCCUUUACGAAUUGUAGUUUAAAGAAGUGUUUUCUGUUGAGGUUUUGGUAAAAGUUCUUUGGAAUAGGACAUCAUAGAGGGUGAGAAUCCCGUAUUUGACCUUUACUUUCAACUUUGUGAUACACUUUCAAAGAGUCGGAUUGUUUGGGAAUGCAGUCCAAAAUGGGUGGUAAAUUUCAUCUAAAGCUAAAUAUUGGCGAGAGACCGAUAGCGAACAAGUACCGUGAGGGAAAGAUGAAAAGAACUUUGAAAAGAGAGUUAAACAGUACGUGAAAUUGUCAAAAGGGAAGCGUUUGACACCAGUGUUGUUUUUCUGAAAAUCAAUUAAAGAACUGUUUAUGCUAAGUUGUUUAGACUUUAUCAGCUAACUGUUUAGUUUUGAGCUUUUCUUUAAUGCACUUUUCAGUUAACAAGUCAACAUCAAUUUCUUUUGCUGUAAAAAAGCUUGAGGAAGGUGGCUUGAGAUUCGUCUUAAGUGUUUAUAGCCUCUUGCCUAUGCAGUCGGAGAGAUUGAGGUCUGCAGCGUAGAUCCUUCGGGGCUAAAUGCAUUUGUGCUAAGUUAUAGCAUUUUAUAGACAACUUGUUGACUAUGAUUUGUCUUGUAGCUUACUCGCUUAUGUUAUUUUACCUACGCUUAGGAUGUUGACUGAUAUGUAGUCGU